This 72-nucleotide transfer RNA is filed under the name Camelus bactrianus (Bactrian camel). It matches the Rfam family "tRNA". From Rfam's summary of the family: Transfer RNA (tRNA) molecules are approximately 80 nucleotides in length. Lineage: Eukaryota; Metazoa; Chordata; Mammalia; Artiodactyla; Camelidae. The record is from Rfam by way of RNAcentral. RNAcentral also lists the same sequence under 2 other names.
GAGGGUACAGUUUAGUGGCAGAGUGCCUGCUUAGCACGCAUGAGGUCCUGGGUUCAAUCCCCAGUACCUCCA